GAUGAACGCUGGCGGCGUGCUUAACACAUGCCAGUCGAACGGUGAAGCUCCAGCUUGCUGGAGUGGAUCAGUGGCGAACGGGUGAGUAACACGUGAGCAACCUGCCCCUGACUCUGGGAUAACAGCCGGAAACGGCUGCUAAUACCGGAUAUGCACCAUGAACGCAUGUUCUGUGGUGGGAAAGAUUUUUCGGUUGGGGAUGGGCUCGCGGCCUAUCAGCUUGUUGGUGAGGUAAUGGCUCACCAAGGCGUCGACGGGUAGCCGGCCUGAGAGGGUGACCGGCCACACUGGGACUGAGACACGGCCCAGACUCCUACGGGAGGCAGCAGUGGGGAAUAUUGCACAAUGGGCGAAAGCCUGAUGCAGCAACGCCGCGUGAGGGAUGACGGCCUUCGGGUUGUAAACCUCUUUUAGCAGGGAAGAAGCGAGAGUGACGGUACCUGCAGAAAAAGCGCCGGCUAACUACGUG
RNAcentral lists this ribosomal RNA (469 nucleotides) under uncultured bacterium. Its description in RNAcentral is "partial 16S ribosomal RNA". It matches the Rfam family "Bacterial small subunit ribosomal RNA", at positions 28 to 507 of the family's 1533-position model. The record is from RNAcentral.